RNAcentral lists this long non-coding RNA (1179 nucleotides) under Equus caballus (horse). Its description in RNAcentral is "lncRNA (ENSECAG00000055656.1)". The record is from RNAcentral. Lineage: Eukaryota; Metazoa; Chordata; Mammalia; Perissodactyla; Equidae.
AGUGCUUCCAGAAAGUGUUGCUGGCGAGUAGAAUAGGAACAGCAGGUCGGAUAUGCAACUAAAUUACUUAGGAUCUACAUUAUAAUAAGUCAGUCAGUGGGAGGACCCAGUAUACAGAUAAUCCAAGUUUCCAUCUCAAAUGGGUAGGCUCAAGGUAAUCUUCUUAUUCAUAGUUCAAAUUAUUUCCUUCUCGACCUCAUUCUUUAUCUGUGGCACAACCCUGUGGAAACUCCUACCCAGAUGUUCCCCAAAGUGGAACUGACUAGAUGGGCUUUGUGUCUAACUGCUGUUUACUUCAUUUGCAUGCAAUGUUCUCACGGUAAUGUCAUAAUGUGGGUGCCCACUGCCAGAACUACCAGGAAUGGUAUUUGGGUGGUUUCGGCUUUUAUUGAAAUCAAGACUCCAGCUAAUCCAUUUCCUACUCUGUGCUUGUCCUGUCUCUGUAGACAAAAGAAGCCAAAUCAUCCCCUCAUUUUUCCAUUUUUCUCUCCUUCUUUUGCCUCUCUCUUUAUUUAAGAAUUUGCUACAUUAACUAGAUCAAGUACCUUUAAUAUCUUUCCCUCCUCCUACAUAAGGGAUUUCCAUUAAGAAUUCCCUGUCUGGGGGCUGGCCCCAUGGCUGAGUGGUUAAAGUUCCACUCACUCUACUUUGGCCACCCACGUUCGCGGAUUUGGAUCCUGGGCACAGAUUUACUCCAUUUGUCAGCCAUGCUGUGGAGGUGUCCCACCGACAGGGUGGAGGAAGAUAGGCAUAGAUGUUGGCUCAGGGCUAAUCUUCCUCGAGCAAAAGAAAGGUGGAUUGGCGGGCGAUGUUAGCUCAGGGUAAAAUCUUCCUCACAAAAAAAGGAGUUCACUGUCUGAUAAAUACCACCACUCAUUAACCAGAUCUUUCAUUUCUUUAAAGGAAAUUAAAAAAUAUAAUUUUCAUAUAAGAUCUCCAGAUAUUUAAAUGUUCACAGUAAAAUUAAAUAGAUAGUCGGGGCUGGCCCCGUGGCUGAGUGGUUAAGUUCACGCGCUCCGCUGCAGGCGGCCCAGUGUUUCGUUGGUUCGAAUCCUGGGCGCGGACAUGGCACUGCUCAUCAAACCACGCUGAGGCAGCAUCCCACGUGCCACAACUAGAAGAAUCCACAACGAAGAAUACACAACUAUGUACCGGGGGGCUUUGGGGAGAAAAAGGAAA